RNAcentral lists this ribosomal RNA (396 nucleotides) under uncultured bacterium. RNAcentral's name for it is "bacterial SSU rRNA". It matches the Rfam family "Bacterial small subunit ribosomal RNA", at positions 366 to 758 of the family's 1533-position model. The record is from RNAcentral.
UGGCGUGGGGGCACCCUGACCGGCAAUGCCGCGUGAGUGAAGAAGGCCUUCGGGUUGUAAAGCUCUUUUGUCAGGGAAGAAACACCGGCUCUAACACAGUCCGGGAAUGACGGUACCUGAAGAAUAAGCACCGGCUAACUACGUGCCAGCAGCCGCGGUAAUACGUAGGGUGCAAGCGUUAAUCGGAAUUACUGGGCGUAAAGCGUGCGCAGGCGGUUAUACAAGACAGGCGUGAAAUCCCCGGGCUUAACCUGGGAAUGGCGCCUGUGACUGUAUAGCUAGAGUGUGUCAGAGGGGGGUAGAAUUCCACGUGUAGCAGUGAAAUGCGUAGAUAUGUGGAGGAAUACCAAUGGCGAAGGCAGCCCCCUGGGAUAACACUGACGCUCAUGCACGAAA